RNAcentral lists this ribosomal RNA (465 nucleotides) under uncultured bacterium. RNAcentral's name for it is "partial 16S ribosomal RNA". It matches the Rfam family "Bacterial small subunit ribosomal RNA", at positions 28 to 507 of the family's 1533-position model. The record is from RNAcentral.
GACGAACGCUGGCGGCGUGCUUAACACAUGCAAGUCGAACGGAAAGGCCCCUUUGGGGGUACUCGAGUGGCGAACGGGUGAGUAACACGUGAGUAACCUGCCCUUGACUUCGGGAUAACUUCAGGAAACUGGGGCUAAUACCGGAUAGGAAUCCUUGCUGCAUGGUGGGGGUUGGAAAGCUUCGGCGGUUUUGGAUGUACUCGCGGCUUAUCAGCUUGUUGGUGGGGUAGUGGCUUACCAAGGCUUUGACGGGUAGCCGGCCUGAGAGGGCGACCGGCCACAUUGGGACUGAGAUACGGCCCAGACUCCUACGGGAGGCAGCAGUGGGGAAUAUUGCACAAUGGGCGGAAGCCUGAUGCAGCAACGCCGCGUGCGGGAUGACGGCCUUCGGGUUGUAAACCGCUUUCAGCAGGGGCGAAGCUUGUGGUGACGGUACCUGCAGAAGAAGCACCGGCUAACUACGUG